This 72-nucleotide transfer RNA is filed under the name Metarhizium anisopliae. RNAcentral's name for it is "tRNA-Arg". It matches the Rfam family "tRNA". Rfam says of the family: Transfer RNA (tRNA) molecules are approximately 80 nucleotides in length. The record is from RNAcentral. RNAcentral also lists the same sequence under 5 other names. Lineage: Eukaryota; Fungi; Ascomycota; Sordariomycetes; Hypocreales; Clavicipitaceae.
GGCCGUGUAGCUCAAUGGCAGAGCGUCUGACUACGAAUCAGAAGGUCGCAGGUUCGACCCCUGUCUCGGUCA